This 115-nucleotide non-coding RNA is filed under the name Streptococcus canis. The record is from RNAcentral. Lineage: Bacteria; Bacillati; Bacillota; Bacilli; Lactobacillales; Streptococcaceae.
GAACGCCGUAUGCGGUGAAAGUCGCACGUACGGUGUGGAGCAGGGGAAAAGCUAGAGAAUGAACGGAUUAUUGUUUGCAAGAAUAAUCGACUUUCAAAAGCUUACCUAUUGCUAU